UCCAAUUUUAAGCAACCAUUGGGACAUAAUAAUUCUACCCAUUAAGCCAUAUAGUGCUAGCAGAAUCACAACAUUAUGCCUUGCAAAAUCUACUGGGAAAUGCUGUUCUGCGCCAUAUACAGUUGUACUAAGAAGCAAGUAAAGCCACAUUAGAGCUCCUAGUCCAUUCUUCUUUACAACUUCUUAUUUCUCCAACCAUCUUAUGAACCUCCCAUGACAACAAAGUUGGAAAAUGGAAAAUAUUAUCAAAUCAAAACAAAAUAUAAGGUAACCUUCGUUUAACAAAUUUAGAAUGAGAUUUAAAAUUCAUUAAGAUUGUCUAAAAAGGUUUUUGGUGUGCACCUGAUACUUUUAAAGGUCAUAGACUUGCACAUUAAAGAAAUCAAUGGCGUGCAUGCUAAGGUGUGUUCAAUUUUCUCUAUAAUGCAGUAGAAUCUUACACGUUUAGGGAGUUUACUUACCAAGGUUUGAACAAUACAGAGUAG
RNAcentral lists this unclassified non-coding RNA (485 nucleotides) under Hevea brasiliensis (rubber tree). Lineage: Eukaryota; Viridiplantae; Streptophyta; Magnoliopsida; Malpighiales; Euphorbiaceae. The record is from RNAcentral.